GUGAUGGAGUAGGAAGAAAGGCAUUGAAUGUGUGUUUUGGAGUGCAACACAUACUAUGACCUUCUGGUAAUGUAGACUGGGGAGAAAUAGUGUCCUCCUUUUUCCCAUGGCAAUCAAUAAAACUGAAUUUUGGCUUCCUAAGCUAUAGCACAUUGACAUGGCAUGAGCUGGAGCUGGUAAAAGAAUAGGAUAUGAGGCAAUUUUCAACUGGAUGCAGACAGGGUAGCACUGAUUUUCUGCUACAGUAUUCUAUUUCAACAUGGAAAAUCAUCACACAGGAGGAAGCCUGUUCUGUGGUGGAAUUGCUUGGAGGAAGAACUUUCUGGUGGAGCACAGUAGUAACAUCAGUGAUUAAAACAAAACCGAUGUUAAAAGAGGAAGAUGAGUAAGGCUGCCAAGUGAAAUACUAGUGCAUGAAAUAAAGCUGAAUUAAUUAUAUUACAUGUACAUUAUAAUUUGAUUUUUGAUUAUGUGAUCACAUAUCUUUUUAAGAGGAUCAUCGCCUGAUUCAAUGCGUCUGAUAGGCUGCACUCACGUAACGUACUAAACAAUGUUCAGCCACAUUCUCCUUGUUCAGUGUGUGGCCAGAUGCCUUAUUUACUGCAAUCCUUUCUAAAAUUAGAAUUAUUAAUUUCCUCACAGGCCUUGAUGUGUUUUGUGUUGUGCUUGUG
Molecule: long non-coding RNA, 671 nt
Filed under: Melopsittacus undulatus (budgerigar)
Lineage: Eukaryota; Metazoa; Chordata; Aves; Psittaciformes; Psittaculidae
Description: lncRNA (ENSMUNG00000012654.2)
Source: RNAcentral